AGUCGAACGGCAGCACGGGAGCAAUCCUGGUGGCGAGUGGCGAACGGGUGAGUAAUACAUCGGAACGUGUCCUGUAGUGGGGGAUAGCCCGGCGAAAGCCGGAUUAAUACCGCAUACGCUCUACGGAGGAAAGGGGGGGAUCUUAGGACCUCCCGCUACAGGGGCGGCCGAUGGCAGAUUAGCUAGUUGGUGGGGUAAAGGCCUACCAAGGCGACGAUCUGUAGCUGGUCUGAGAGGACGACCAGCCACACUGGGACUGAGACACGGCCCAGACUCCUACGGGAGGCAGCAGUGGGGAAUUUUGGACAAUGGGCGAAAGCCUGAUCCAGCAAUGCCGCGUGUGUGAAGAAGGCCUUCGGGUUGUAAAGCACUUUUGUCCGGAAAGAAAACGUCGUGGUUAAUACCCGUGGCGGAUGACGGUACCGGAAGAAUAAGCACCGGCUAACUACGUGCCAGCAGCCGCGGUAAUACGUAGGGUGCAAGCGUUAAUCGGAAUUACUGGGCGUAAAGCGUGCGCAGGCGGUUCGCUAAGACAGAUGUGAAAUCCCCGGGCUUAACCUGGGAACUGCAUUUGUGACUGGCGGGCUAGAGUAUGGCAGAGGGGGGUAGAAUUCCACGUGUAGCAGUGAAAUGCGUAGAGAUGUGGAGGAAUACCGAUGGCGAAGGCAGCCCCCUGGGCCAAUACUGACGCUCAUGCACGAAAGCGUGGGGAGCAAACAGGAUUAGAUACCCUGGUAGUCCACGCCCUAAACGAUGUCAACUAGUUGUUGGGUCUUCAUUGACUUAGUAACGUAGCUAACGCGUGAAGUUGACCGCCUGGGGAGUACGGUCGCAAGAUUAAAACUCAAAGGAAUUGACGGGGACCCGCACAAGCGGUGGAUGAUGUGGAUUAAUUCGAUGCAACGCGAAAAACCUUACCUACCCUUGACAUGUAUGGAACCCUGCUGAGAGGUGGGGGUGCCCGAAAGGGAGCCAUAACACAGGUGCUGCAUGGCUGUCGUCAGCUC
This 1007-nucleotide ribosomal RNA is filed under the name Paraburkholderia ginsengiterrae. RNAcentral's name for it is "bacterial SSU rRNA". It matches the Rfam family "Bacterial small subunit ribosomal RNA", at positions 60 to 1061 of the family's 1533-position model. The record is from RNAcentral. Lineage: Bacteria; Pseudomonadati; Pseudomonadota; Betaproteobacteria; Burkholderiales; Burkholderiaceae.